ACUGCUGCAGCCCAAACCCCAACGCUUGAUUCCUACUAUUUCCCUGUUGGGAAGCACAAGAUAGCGGAAGAACCUCAUCAUAGAGACCGUCAGGAAUAAGAAAUGGAUUGCUAAUAAUUUUGAUGGCAGCAUUCAACCACAAAGCAUAAUUCUAUCAGAGCAAGGAAAACAGAAUCACCCUCCAGAUGAAUCCAAAUAGCAUCACUCACCGGAGCAUCAACUGUUACCGAGAUACUUCAAUGGAAGUAAAUAGUGGUAUUCAGCAAUCACAGGUUAAGGCAUUUUUUACCAGUUUCAUUGAAGGGUCUUACCUCAGUUUUGAUGUUAUAUUCUGGAGGCUCCUUCGGCACAGCAGUUCUUGAAUCAUCAGUUGCAGUUGCAGUUUCAAACACCUAUGCCUAUUUUCUUCAUAAAAUCACACAAGGCAAAAGAUGACAAUCGAGGAGAGGCCUACUUACUGUAGCCACCUCCUUUCAGAUGAACUCCUUUCUGGACAGACCAAUAAAGUUGUUGUCAAUUGUACCACAUUUAAUUGAAGACAGGCUUGUUAAACUACAUCUGGAAAAUCUGAUGUUGAUUCAAUCUAUAAACUGAACGCUUGCCCUUUGGCCAUGGAAUGAAUGAAUUUCACCAUGUUAUCAUCUCUAAGGCAGCAGGUAUUAAGUCUCCUGGUGUGAAGCAAAAGCAAACUUUUGUUGCCUGGUUUGGUUUUAAUUCAAAUUCACUGGGUUGAGUCUUUCUUCUUGAAAGGAGUCCAUGCGUGUUCAAAAGAGCCGCACUGUAAUUAACCAGAAAAUAACACCACUAGCUGAAACACCAGCUCCUUUGAUUCCUCCCCAAAAGACAGAAGAUUCUUCAGCUUCUGUUGUGAAUGAGUAAGCACAUCUGAGAAAAAAAAGGAAAUGACAUCUUCACCUUCUUCAUCUGGAAUGUUGAAUUGAAGCCUCAAACUCAAGAUGGGAAGAGGACAAAAUGGCAAUGAAAACAAAGGAAACUACAGUGGAUCAUAACAUAAUCCCUCAGAAGAUGUAACCCCCAGAGACAUGAAAACAGCAAGCAGAUAACAAAAAUAUAACACCAUCUGCACUUGUCUUUUUGCUCACACUGUGAUCAACUCUGAGAUUCCAGGACUAAUGUGUCAUAUGUCCAUCUAUUAAGCUCUAUGGAAUUUAAUACUAUGCAGUCUGGAUUGCUAAAGUAUCUUACCUCAGUUUUGAUAUUGUUCAGAAACGUUACUUUUAAUUUGCUGCUGAAGAUGGUCUAGUCCUGCAGCAGAAUGUUUCCACAUCUGCUCAGCACAACCACUUGGCAAAGUUAUAGUGAAACGGGAACAGCUCCGAGAAAGUUAUCAGGCAAAGUGUCUUCUCACCCCCACAGAAUGUCCCAAAGGCCUUCACAUCCGAGUUAAUUAGAUUUUUAAAUUGUAGUCACUAUUAUCCUAUAGCAAACAGAGUAGCUUAAUUGUUGCAGAGCAAGGUCAACAACCAGAGUUGAAUGAGAGUAAAUCAGUUUUCCCCAGCUCAUGGUUGAAUGGAGCCAUAGAGUCUUAUACAUCCAUCUGAACCAUUAAAACAGGCAAAGAACUGGUUUAACAUCUCAUCUGAAAGGUGAUACUCCCAAUAAUGGAGCACUGAAUCAUUAGUGUACUGAAUUGUCUUCCUAAAAACAGAAAUUAAUAAUGCAAACAUUCAAUGGGCCAAGCAGCACCUCUUGAGAAAGAAACAAAGGUAUUUCAGAUCAAAGACCUUUCAUCAGAAGAUCGUAAAUUACACGCUUAAGUGGGUCUUAAACCAACGAUAUUUUAGCUCAGAGUUUAGAGUGCUGCUAACAUAGUCAAACUGUCACUGUGGGAUUAUUGAAUGUUUAAGCAUAGGAACAGGCAGGCUAUUUAGUCAAUCAGACCUACACCAGUGUUCUUUCUGUGUAAUCCAACUCUCUUACACUCUUUUUAUGUGUCCUUUAACAUUUCUCUUUAUCAACUGAUUGUUUAAUUAUCCCUUAAAUAGUUUGUACAUUCUCAAGAAUAGUUUAUGGCAGAGAAUUCCAUAUUCUAAUCAGCCUCUUUAUAAAUAUAUUUUUCUGAAUUCCCCUUUAACUUGUUUUGUGAGUAUCUUAAAUUUGUGAAAGAAAAAAGAAAAGGAACUCACACUGAUAUAGUGCCUUCACAAACUCAGGCAUCGCAGAACACUUUACAGCUAAAUAAAUGUGCAUAUUAUUUCAUCAUCUCAUUGUAUGUGGUGAGAUGAUGACCAGAUAACCUGUUUUUAGUAAUGUUUGUUGAAAGGUAGCAGCAGGAGAGGGCACAAACUUGUAAAAUUAAUCAUCUGUCCAAGAUUCCAGGUAUCAUAAACAGCAUUCAUGCGACCAUCGUAGUUCUUAUAUUGAUUCCCAUAGUUUUCAGAAAGAGAAGGGGCUCACACUCAAUUAACAUUCAGUGAUAUCCACUUGGUCCUAUGGGACCAGUGUCUUUAUCAUUUCUACAAAGCUAUCCUUAUAAAGGGGAAGGUGUAGGAUUGGGGUGGGGACUCCCUAGAUUAGGUGUUCCUGCACCACCUUCUCAGAGUUGGGGCCAAGAGUAGUUUUGUCAGAUGUACUCCUGGCAUGCCUCAUCAAAUGGUGCCAAAACUUUAGUUCCCACUGUGAGACUGGGGCUAGAGUCUCUGAAAAUGAAAGGUUUAAAAAAUUCAAUUUUGCACCUGGCACAGAGAGCAUUUGGGGCACAUUUAUCCUCAGGGCCAAAAAUCCAUAUCAGAGCACAUCCCAGCAUAAAUGCAUCCCAGCCCAACAAAGGGCCAACCCACAUGAUGACGUGGUGAUCCUUGUCAGGGUUAGUGGCAGACCCACAGGCAAAUGUGUUUUAUGGUUUGAUUUCCAUGUUGAAUAGUAUUUGGAUCUCUCUUUGGAUAAUUCAGUCUUAGGAAGGUUUCCCUUUACUGAAGAGUGACUUGGGUCUGACUCCAGUAGGUUUCUUCAAAAGUAUUUACACUAUUUACACAAUAAGCUUCUAGGUAAGUAUAUCCCCUUUGUUGUCUAUUCUGUCUUUCGAACAGUCUCUGAUGUCACUGUUACAUCAUGAUACAUAUUACUAUCUCAUUACUGUAACUAUUAACCCAUUAUGCUACAAAAUAUAUUCCAACAUUUACUUUAUGACCUGUUCCCGUAUUCAUUUUCUGCCCCUUAUUUUCUUUAGUUUGCAAAGAAAAAGUAGAUAUUUUACUAGAUGUCAAUAGUUUAUAACAUUGAGCUUUUUUAAACUUUGCAUGGAGAAGAAAAUGUGAACUUUAGAAAUUAUGUAGUAUCACUUUUUAAGUAAGACAAAAUUUUGAUUGACAAAUUAUUUCUUCUGGCUGAAAAAAAUGCAUGGAAUUCGCAUGGUUGAUGGAAUUGUAAUAAAACCUUUGAUCCAA
Molecule: long non-coding RNA, 3407 nt
Organism: Carcharodon carcharias (great white shark)
Lineage: Eukaryota; Metazoa; Chordata; Chondrichthyes; Lamniformes; Lamnidae
Exons: 4
Source: RefSeq, a predicted model, not a curated record